UUAAAUAGCAGUCUUGAACACUGCACCACAGACCGGUUGGAUUUGUUCUUGAAUUCUUCAAUCGGACAGGAAAAUAAAAUUAAAGGAAUAAAAAUCUAAGGUCUAACAUAAGGUUAGGUCUAGUGAAAGGUACACCAUAGUUUCCGGUGUAGAAACUACUGUGCGAAAAAUUAAGUAAUUGCUGGAAAAAGAAAAUAGAAAUUGCAAAUGAAACAAUAUAAAAGUUGUAAAAGUAAUGCUGUAAAAUAUGCUUAUGCUGCUGGAAGAGAAAAAGUGCGAAAAAGAGAAAACGGCGAGGAAGCAAAACGUCCUGAGGGUUUGCCAAAAACUACUAUUUAUAUUGGUCUCUUCUCGUAACUGCUUCCAAAGGUCUUCCGCGUAAAAGGGUCUUCACGUGCCAAAUGGUCAGGCGUACAAAUA
RNAcentral lists this long non-coding RNA (420 nucleotides) under Lathyrus oleraceus (garden pea). RNAcentral describes it as "Pisum sativum (pea) long non-coding RNA (PSAT_LNC031777)". Lineage: Eukaryota; Viridiplantae; Streptophyta; Magnoliopsida; Fabales; Fabaceae. The record is from RNAcentral.